This is a long non-coding RNA of Homo sapiens (human), 1640 nucleotides long. RefSeq lists it as uncharacterized. NCBI's taxonomy places the organism in Eukaryota, Metazoa, Chordata, Mammalia, Primates, Hominidae. The transcript has 5 exons. The record is from RefSeq and is a predicted model, not a curated record.
UUUUGGGUCUGUCUGCUCCAUCCUUCCUGCACUUCACAGGAGGCAACCAUGAGCUCUGUGUCUCAUCUGCACCUGGGAGAGAGAGAGGCACAUGGCUCCAAACAAUUCUGUGAAAAAGCCUCUGCGUCCUGCGUGUUGAGCCAUUUGCAGGACAUCCCAAUGCCCAGCAGUGAACUCUGCCAGCUAAUUUUAAACACAACCCUGAGCCGCUGCUGCAGCCCCUCCAUGGCUCUCAAUCGGAUUGUGAGGGCAGCGCCUGGGACUUGCCGGACUCUCUGUCCUCCGGGCUCUUUCAGGACCCGUCCCCUUCAAUCUCUCCGUGCCCCCUUCUCAUACUCAUGGGUCCCUCCAGUCCUCGUAGGGUCUCCUUCCUACAUUUCCGUCAAACUUCUCGAAAUCACAUCCGCUACCUGCAGCUUCUCACCGUCCCCCUGCACUCUGCCUCUUGCCAUCUGGUGUCCACCUAGAACUCAGUAGAAAUUGCUGGGGAGGGAAGAGAUGGGAAGGACAUCUUCUUUCAAGAGCCAGUUCCUCCUCCACCAUCUGGACACACCCAGGGUGCUUGACACCUGGAGGAUAAACAUCUUCCAGCCUGGACUCCCAGGACUCCAGGACCAUGAGCUUCCUGCUGGGGCAGCCAGAGGCCCAGCUGUCCAGACCCAGGGGUCUUCUUCAGGCAGGUCAAGAAGCAAAGGGGAGGAUGAAGAACAGGAGGUGGGAGGCGGGUCACCUCUGGUUGGAGCUGUGCCAAGUGGCCUAAAGGACAGACUUUUCUUCCAGCUCCCCUGAGACCCCUGUUCAGCACUGUCACCUGAAGACUUGGCUGUGCACUGCUGAUGGCCCCCUGCGCCAUCUUGUUUCUCUCUGAGGUGCCCCAGCAACUCUGCAAAUGACCCAGCAGGACCAACUUCCUGGUCCCAAGGCUGUUGGAUGGAGCUUAGGAGAGAGGGUAGAUGGAGCAUCGCUCAUCUGGACACCUCAGAAGGGGCAGACAGCAGCACGCAGAGUGCCAAAGGGGAAGAGAUGCGGAGCAAAGAACUGGAAACUUCUCAGGCAUUCACAUUGGCAACUCCUGUUCCAAGAAUAAUUAUUUAUGACAGAUUUCAAUUUUCGGGGCAGGGAUGGUGUCUUACUCAUCCUGGGCUUCAGGACAUCUGUGUAACAGACGCUCCAGGUGAAGCAGUGAUGUCAACCCUGGCUGAACACUGGAAUCACCUGGGAAGAUCAAAAAGCAACACCUCCUGCAUCUAGGUGAAAACCCAAAGCAGGCUGGUUCUUCUUGCCGGCUUCCUCCCAGACCCGUGCCUGGCCGGGGAGGGGCCACACUUGGAGAAUUCCUGCUAUAGAUGGGUCAACAUCCGGGAGUGGUGUUUCUCUCAGGACAGAAUGAGCUAAAGGAGAGAAACUCUACCUGAGAAAAACAGGAAAAGAGGAAACUUGAGACAACUCAGAGCUUGGGUUCCUUUAGUAGCAGUACUCUUUUGUUUCUCAGGUCGAUCAGCUACAGUGUGGCAAAUACAAAGCAAAAAAAAAAAAUUCACUUCUGUGAAUUGUGCUGUGAUGAACACACCAUGCAUGCGUCUUUACAGUAGAACAAUGAAUAUUCCUUUGGGUAUAUGCCCAAUAAUAGGAUUGCUGGG